RNAcentral lists this transfer RNA (75 nucleotides) under Desulfobacca acetoxidans. RNAcentral's name for it is "tRNA-Val". It matches the Rfam family "tRNA". From Rfam's summary of the family: Transfer RNA (tRNA) molecules are approximately 80 nucleotides in length. Their secondary structure includes four short double-helical elements and three loops (D, anti-codon, and T loops). Lineage: Bacteria; Pseudomonadati; Thermodesulfobacteriota; Desulfobaccia; Desulfobaccales; Desulfobaccaceae. RNAcentral also lists the same sequence under 6 other names. The record is from RNAcentral.
GGGCGGUUAACUCAGUGGUAGAGUGCCAUCCUCACACGGUGGAAGUCGCAGGUUCAAAUCCUGCACCGCCUACCA